UACAGAGGGGGCAAGCGUUGUUCGGAAUUACUGGGCGUAAAGGGCGCGUAGGCGGCCUUCUAAGUCAUGCGUGAAAUCCCCGGGCUCAACCCGGGAACUGCGUCUGAUACUGGAAGGCUCGAAUCCGGGAGAGGGAUGUGGAAUUCCAGGUGUAGCGGUGAAAUGCGUAGAUAUCUGGAGGAACACCGGUGGCGAAGGCGGCAUCCUAGACCGGCAUUGACGCUGAGGCGCGAAAGCUAGGGGAGCAAACGGG
This 253-nucleotide ribosomal RNA is filed under the name uncultured bacterium. RNAcentral describes it as "partial 16S ribosomal RNA". It matches the Rfam family "Bacterial small subunit ribosomal RNA", at positions 524 to 776 of the family's 1533-position model. The record is from RNAcentral.